This 648-nucleotide small RNA is filed under the name Pongo abelii (Sumatran orangutan). RNAcentral's name for it is "processed transcript". Lineage: Eukaryota; Metazoa; Chordata; Mammalia; Primates; Hominidae. The record is from RNAcentral.
AUUUAAAAAAAAUGCUGUGAGAGCCGAUCUAUGCAUCUGGUUUGUGAGCCGGUAUUCUGUGAUGGCUGCAGUUUACAGAGAUCCUAGUAGCUCUACACAUCUGUCUUCUGCUUUCCUAGAACCUGGGCUCCCCAUGGAUGACUCACUGCUGGUCGUGUGUGUGUGUGUGUGUGUGUAUGUGUUUGUGAUUUAAAAUUACAUUCAGUCAACUCUCUCUUUUUAUAGCCCUAUGGGCUUUUUGAAUAACCAAAUGCUCAACAGUUCUGUAAUCUUUCAGGUUGCUGUGAUCAGUCCCUAAGGAGUCUACACUCUCAGAGAGAUUGGGAAAGGCCUGGCCAUGCUGGAUAAGGAACUGGCUGCCUCUGUGAACAUCCUACUCAAGGCAUCUUCACUGCUGUACAUCCUUUUGAAAUCCCAGAGGUCUUCAGUCUCCCUGUGGAUUAAGGAGAUGUGCAGUAUUUAAAGUAGCUUCAGGAAGGCAUGGAAGAGGACUGAGUGCGGAAAGCUUUUUGUGCAUGCUGCUGGCCACCUCCAGCGGCUGCCUCCAGCCUCCAUCAGCUGCACUCUGGGGAAGAGGAGGCUGCCUUCUACCUCUCAGCAUCUCUGGAUUUCAUGUUCCUGUCAGCACAGAGGAGCUAAAUGGCCUUU